RNAcentral lists this small nuclear RNA (330 nucleotides) under Ursus maritimus (polar bear). RNAcentral describes it as "7SK RNA (ENSUMAG00000004352.1)". It matches the Rfam family "7SK RNA". From Rfam's summary of the family: 7SK was discovered as an abundant small nuclear RNA in the mid-70s but a possible function has only recently been suggested. Two independent studies have found that 7SK RNA binds the CDK9/cyclin T complex (known as elongation factor P-TEFb). P-TEFb activates transcription by phosphorylating the C-terminal domain of RNA polymerase II. The record is from Rfam by way of RNAcentral. Lineage: Eukaryota; Metazoa; Chordata; Mammalia; Carnivora; Ursidae.
GGGUGCGGGGGCGAUCUGGCUGCAACAUCCGUACCCCACUGAUCGCCAGGGUUGGCUCGGCUGAUCUGGAUGGCUAGGUGGGUGUCCCCUUCCUCCCUCACUGCUCCACGUGCAGCCCUCCCAGAGCUGUGCGCUUGGUGGAGGAGGGUGACCUUCCCGCAUGGAGGAGGACCGUUCUUCGUCAGGGGUAUAUGAGUUAGCUGCGUUCCCCUGCCGGAACCUCCAGCCAAGCUCUCAAGGUCCAUUUGUAGGAGAAUGUAGGGUAGACAAGCUUCCAAGACUCCAGACACGUCCACAUGAGGUGCUGCAUGUGGCAGUCUGCCUUUCUUU